Molecule: ribosomal RNA, 502 nt
Filed under: uncultured bacterium
Lineage: Bacteria
Description: bacterial SSU rRNA
Rfam family: Bacterial small subunit ribosomal RNA
Source: RNAcentral
GAGUUUGAUCAUGGCUCAGAACGAACGCUGGCGGCGCGCCUAAUACAUGCAAGUCGAGCGAGAAGGUGUAGCAAUACACUUGUAAAGCGGCGAACGGGUGAGGAAUGCAUGGGUAACCUACCCUCGAGUGGGGAAUAACUAGCCGAAAGGUUAGCUAAUACCGCAUACGUUCCGGAACUUCGGUUUCGGAAAGAAAGCAAUACCGUGGGUAUUGCGCUCCUGGAUGGGCUCAUGUCCUAUCAGCUUGUUGGUGAGGUAACGGCUCACCAAGGCUUCGACGGGUAGCUGGUCUGAGAGGACGAUCAGCCACACUGGCACUGCGACACGGGCCAGACUCCUACGGGAGGCAGCAGUAAGGAAUAUUGCGCAAUGGACGAAAGUCUGACGCAGCGACGCCGCGUGGGGGAUGAAGGUCUUCGGAUUGUAAACCCCUUUCGGAGGGAAGAUGGAGUGGGUAACCACUUGGACGGUACCUCCAGAAGCAGCCACGGCUAACUUCGUG